ACCUGUAAUGUAAUGGCAGAUGCUUUAGCCCUGUGGUCCCCAAGCCCCCGGCUGUGGACCCCUACCGUGGCAUGUUAGGAACCAGGGCACACAGCAUGAGGAUCAUAAAUCCAAGUAGUCUGCAGACAUCUAACUGUACAUGACCAGGGAAAAGCUGGAGCAAAGGUUGAUGAAAGGAACUUCUGUGUUUCAAAUACUGGUGAUCUCCGCAUGCCCUUACCAAAUAGAAUCCCAGAUGGAGAAAGAUAGAGAUUAGUGAACCAUGCAACAGAAUUUUAAAGGCCAGUACUGGGAGAGGCAUAAUCACUCUGUUGGCCGCAUCACUGCAAGGGUAACUGGGAAAAGCGGCCCAUGUGUGCACUCAGAGGUAAGGUUUUGUCAGUAUUUUGGAUUUUGGCUAUUCUAA
Long non-coding RNA from Lemur catta (Ring-tailed lemur), 406 nucleotides. RefSeq lists it as uncharacterized. The transcript has 3 exons. Lineage: Eukaryota; Metazoa; Chordata; Mammalia; Primates; Lemuridae. The record is from RefSeq and is a predicted model, not a curated record.